This 39-nucleotide transfer RNA is filed under the name Eutreptiella gymnastica. RNAcentral describes it as "partial Selenocysteine transfer RNA". The record is from RNAcentral. Lineage: Eukaryota; Euglenozoa; Euglenophyceae; Eutreptiales; Eutreptiaceae.
CGCGUGUUCACCCGCUCCUCCGCAUUCUCCAAGCGCGAG